GAAGGUAUAGCUCAAGUGGUAGAGUGCAUGCUUAGCAUGCACAAGGUCCUGGGCUCAAUCCCCGGUACCUCCG
RNAcentral lists this transfer RNA (73 nucleotides) under Camelus ferus (Wild Bactrian camel). It matches the Rfam family "tRNA". Rfam says of the family: Transfer RNA (tRNA) molecules are approximately 80 nucleotides in length. The record is from Rfam by way of RNAcentral. Lineage: Eukaryota; Metazoa; Chordata; Mammalia; Artiodactyla; Camelidae.